GACGAACGCUGGCGGCGUGCUUAACACAUGCAAGUCGAACGGAAAGGCCCCAGCUUGCUGGAGUACUCGAGUGGCGAACGGGUGAGUAACACGUGGGUAACCUGCCCUGCACUCUGGGAUAACCCUGGGAAACUGGGUCUAAUACUGGAUAUGACCUUUCUCCUCAUGGGGUUUGGUGGAAAGUUUCUCGGUGUAGGAUGAGCCCGCGGCCUAUCAGCUUGUUGGUGGGGUUAUGGCCUACCAAGGCGACGACGGGUAGCCGGCCUGAGAGGGUGACCGGCCACAUUGGGACUGAGAUACGGCCCAGACUCCUACGGGAGGCAGCAGUGGGGAAUAUUGCACAAUGGGCGGAAGCCUGAUGCAGCGACGCCGCGUGAGGGAUGACGGCCUUCGGGUUGUAAACCGCUUUCAGCAGGGACGAAGCGUGAGUGACGGUACCGGCAGAAGAAGCACCGGCUAACUAUGUG
This 467-nucleotide ribosomal RNA is filed under the name uncultured bacterium. Its description in RNAcentral is "partial 16S ribosomal RNA". It matches the Rfam family "Bacterial small subunit ribosomal RNA", at positions 28 to 507 of the family's 1533-position model. The record is from RNAcentral.